UCAAGAAACUUCCACAAUGGGCGAAAGCCUGAUGGAGCGACGUCGCGUGAUGGACGAAGUGCUUCGGCACGUAAACAUCUUUUAUGUGGGAUGAAAUUAUUGACAGUACCACAUGAAUAAGGGGCUCCUAACUCUGUGCCAGCAGGAGCGGUAAUACAGAGGCCCCAAGCGUUAUCCGGAAUCACUGGGCGUAAAGGGUGUCGAGGCGGUUGUAUUAGUCGUUCGUAAAAUCUACGAGCUUAACUUGUAGGCGGCGAACGAAACGGUACGACUUGAGGUUUGGAGAGGUGCGUGGAACUCACGGUGUAGGGGUGAAAUCCGUUGAUAUCGUGGGGAACACCAAAGGCGAAGGCAGCGCACUGGCCAAAAUCUGACGCUCACACACGAAAGCUAGGGUAGCGAAGAGGAUUAGAUACCCAUGUAGUCC
Molecule: ribosomal RNA, 427 nt
Filed under: uncultured bacterium
Lineage: Bacteria
Description: bacterial SSU rRNA
Rfam family: Bacterial small subunit ribosomal RNA
Source: RNAcentral